UGAGGAAUCUUGCGCAAUGGGGGAAACCCUGACGCAGCAACGCCGCGUGAGUGAGGAAGGUCUUCGGGUCGUAAAGCUCUGUCAGGCGGGAAGAAAUGCAUGGAGGUGAACAGCCGCCAUGCUUGACGGUACCGCCAGAGGAAGCACCGGCUAACUCCGUGCCAGCAGCCGCGGUAAUACGGGGGGUGCAAGCGUUGUUCGGAAUCAUUGGGCGUAAAGAGCGUGUAGGCGGCUUGGUAAGUCAGAUGUGAAAGCCCUGGGCUCAACCCGGGAAGUGCAUUUGAAACUGCCAGGCUCGAGUAGGGGAGAGGGAAGUGGAAUUCCUGGUGUAGAGGUGAAAUUCGUAGAUAUCAGGAGGAACACCGGUGGCGAAGGCGACUUCCUGGCCCUAUACUGACGCUGAGACGCGAGAGCGUGGGUAGCAAACAG
This 429-nucleotide ribosomal RNA is filed under the name uncultured bacterium. RNAcentral's name for it is "bacterial SSU rRNA". It matches the Rfam family "Bacterial small subunit ribosomal RNA", at positions 355 to 775 of the family's 1533-position model. The record is from RNAcentral.